RNAcentral lists this ribosomal RNA (301 nucleotides) under uncultured bacterium. Its description in RNAcentral is "partial 16S ribosomal RNA". It matches the Rfam family "Bacterial small subunit ribosomal RNA", at positions 509 to 809 of the family's 1533-position model. The record is from RNAcentral.
CAGCAGCCGCGGUAAUACGAAGGGGGCUAGCGUUGCUCGGAAUUACUGGGCGUAAAGCGCACGUAGGCGGCUUUGUAAGUUAGAGGUGAAAGCCUGGAGCUCAACUCCAGAAUUGCCUUUAAGACUGCAUCGCUUGAAUCCAGGAGAGGUGAGUGGAAUUCCGAGUGUAGAGGUGAAAUUCGUAGAUAUUCGGAAGAACACCAGUGGCGAAGGCGGCUCACUGGACUGGUAUUGACGCUGAGGUGCGAAAGCGUGGGGAGCAAACAGGAUUAGAUACCCCAGUAGUCCCUGUCUCUUAUAA